CUCAACUUAACAUCGGAUUGAGGAUUAGCUUAUAACAGUUGGAGAUUUAUAAGUAAUGGCUAAGGUUUCUUGUACCCCUUUCCUCAUUGUUGCUAUCCUUGUCUUCAGAGCUGCAUCGUCAAUGUGGUGAUGAAAGCAGAUGCGCAAGUGAAGGUUUGCCCGGUGGUAUUGCAUCCUACUGGCUGCACCCUCCUAGCUUGUGGUGAAGAGUGCUACAAAAAAUUUAACGGCGCCAGAGGAGUUUGUGAACAGAACGAUUUUUCUGUACACCCCACAUAUAGAUGUGUUUGUAACCGCAUUUGCUAGAACCAUAAUAAGCCUCUCUUUCUUUACAUGUCUGGUCACCAUAUGAGCAAUAAAAGGCUUUAAAAA
Molecule: long non-coding RNA, 372 nt
Organism: Macadamia integrifolia
Lineage: Eukaryota; Viridiplantae; Streptophyta; Magnoliopsida; Proteales; Proteaceae
Exons: 2
Source: RefSeq, a predicted model, not a curated record